GAUCGUAAAGCUCUGUUGUUAGGGAAGAACAAGUGCCGUUCAAAUAGGGCGGCACCUUGACGGUACCUAACCAGAAAGCCACGGCUAACUACGUGCCAGCAGCCGCGGUAAUACGUAGGUGGCAAGCGUUGUCCGGAAUUAUUGGGCGUAAAGGGCUCGCAGGCGGUUUCUUAAGUCUGAUGUGAAAGCCCCCGGCUCAACCGGGGAGGGUCAUUGGAAACUGGGGAACUUGAGUGCAGAAGAGGAGAGUGGAAUUCCACGUGUAGCGGUGAAAUGCGUAGAGAUGUGGAGGAACACCAGUGGCGAAGGCGACUCUCUGGUCUGUAACUGACGCUGAGGAGCGAAAGCGUGGGGAGCGAACAGGAUUAGAUACCCUGGUAGUCCACGCCGUAAACGAUGAGUGCUAAGUGUUAGGGGGUUUCCGCCCCUUAGUGCUGCA
This 439-nucleotide ribosomal RNA is filed under the name Bacillus amyloliquefaciens. RNAcentral describes it as "bacterial SSU rRNA". It matches the Rfam family "Bacterial small subunit ribosomal RNA", at positions 421 to 850 of the family's 1533-position model. Lineage: Bacteria; Bacillati; Bacillota; Bacilli; Caryophanales; Bacillaceae. The record is from RNAcentral.